AGAAAUCCAGUUUUACUAGGAUUAGUCCGUCUGCAAAGUUGCUAAUUACAGAAUUUGGAUUGGAUGCAUCAACACUGAAGGCAUCAGGUCCUCGAGGUACUCUGCUGAAAGGGGAUGUUUUAGCUGCAAUAAAGGCAGGAAUAGGAUCUUCAAGUUCUUCCUCAAAGGAUAAGAUGCCUCCACCUCCAGUUCACUCUCAAGCUUCUCCCUCAGCAUCACCAGAAAGGUCUCAUUUACAGCAAUCAGAAUCAUUUGAAGAUAUGCCCAAUAGCCAAAUACGCAAGGUA
This 287-nucleotide long non-coding RNA is filed under the name Vitis vinifera (wine grape). RNAcentral describes it as "long non-coding RNA (VVIN_LNC004112)". The record is from RNAcentral. Lineage: Eukaryota; Viridiplantae; Streptophyta; Magnoliopsida; Vitales; Vitaceae.